GAUGAAGAGGAACAAGAAGACUCAUUGGAGUUUGGGACAAGGUUUGGUAAUGUCAUUAUUGUUGACAAUCUUUCUGUUGUGCUUCCUGAGAAGUUUGAGAAACUUGAAGGUGUUGUUCAUAAGAUUUUUGGCCAGAUUGGAACAAUCAGGGACAAGGGUUUGUGGAUGCCUGUUUAUCCCGAGACAUAGAAGACUAAAGGUCAUUAUUUUAUAGAGUACAACACUCCUUAGGAGGCACAAACAAUGAAAGAUCAAACAAAUAUAUAUAAGAUGAACAAAGGACACAUUUUUGUUGUUAACAUGUUUGAUUACUUUGAGAAAUACAUGAAAGUAUCAGACAAAUGGGUUCCUCCUAAAACCAAAACAUAUUCUCCCAUUGUAUGUACUCCUUUUUAUUCUUUGUUUUUGUAUAACAAAUUCAGUUUGUUUGAA
Cryptomeria japonica (Japanese cedar) is the source of this 432-nucleotide long non-coding RNA. RefSeq lists it as uncharacterized. The record is from RefSeq and is a predicted model, not a curated record. Lineage: Eukaryota; Viridiplantae; Streptophyta; Pinopsida; Cupressales; Cupressaceae. The transcript is spliced from 2 exons.